AGGACGAACGCUGGCGGCGUGCUUAACACAUGCAAGUCGAACGGAAAGGCCCGCUUGCGGGUACUCGAGUGGCGAACGGGUGAGUAACACGUGGGCAACCUGCCCCUAGCUCUGGGAUAACUCCUCGAAAGAGGCGCUAAUACCGGAUAACGACCUUUUGUGGCAUCACGAUUGGUCCAAAGUUUUUCGGCUAGGGAUGGGCCCGCGGCCUAUCAGCUUGUUGGUGGGUAAUGGCCUACCGAAGGCGACGGACGGGUA
RNAcentral lists this ribosomal RNA (258 nucleotides) under uncultured bacterium. Its description in RNAcentral is "partial small subunit ribosomal RNA". It matches the Rfam family "Bacterial small subunit ribosomal RNA", at positions 26 to 285 of the family's 1533-position model. The record is from RNAcentral.